This is a non-coding RNA of Salvelinus sp. IW2-2015, 578 nucleotides long. Lineage: Eukaryota; Metazoa; Chordata; Actinopteri; Salmoniformes; Salmonidae. The record is from RefSeq and is a predicted model, not a curated record.
CAGGAGACUGCUUCCUGCUGUAGAUGAGCAACCAAGAACUACGCAUGAAAUUGUGCCACGGCUUUGGAACGAACGGAGCCAGGCCAAGAGAAUGCUCGGCGGAAAUGGAGCCCAUAGAGAAAGCAAGAACAAGAUGGGUGGCAGGAGUAUUAUCAUAAGGAGACUUGGAAACCGGAGGAGGAAUGGAGGGAAGAAGGGAGAUGGUUUGUUAAAGAAGAAUGGUAGAAAGUGUAAGCAGAUGGAGCUGGAGAAAUGGAAGUGAAUGAGGGUGAAGUUAUGGAGAGACCGAGGUAUUCUCCCAGGAUCAGGAACAACACAAGUUUGUGACAGUGUUGCCAACUUCUCAGUAAGGAAAGUAGCUAUUGGCUGUACUUUUUUUAAUUAAAUGUUUUUUUAUUUUUAUAUACUGUAUUAUUCUGCAUUAUUUUCUAUAUUUCUGCAUUUGAGAAUAAUGUAACCAACCUAUUGUCUUCUAAUGUAAUGUGUCUGACUGUCUUGAUGGACACAAAUUAUGAGGAAAAAUAAGAGUAACUCAACAUUUUAUUCCUUCUUCAUAAUACAUUAAUUAAAAUAUUACA